UAAUUUCUCUGGGCCUGUUGUAAGGCCUCGAUUUAUUGCAUCACUUAGCGGCCCUAAUAGACAAAUAAGCCACAAAGAAGUCAAUCUAACCAGCGAGUAUCAGCAGGGGCAGUCUGUGCGGAGCCAAGUGGUUCUAUAUGAGUGUGAUCAUGAAAGCCUUAAAAGACAUGCAACCAUUAAGAGCUUUGGGGAAUCCAGAUGGCAUAAUGUGAAAAAGCAAAGAGUGGAAAUUGUCAUACUGUUAAAAACUCCUGGCAGUGCAAGAUAUGAAUUUAAGCAAAACGCCUCCAGCUAAAAGACAGAAUAAAUCCUUCAACAGUUGGACGUUUGAGCAACGGUGAAACGUCUGUCAGUGUACAUACGUCGUCUACAAAUAAGGCCUCUUGAGCUAAACAUACACGGCCGGCUCACCUAACCGAGGAUGGAAGAAGAAGAAGAGCG
Long non-coding RNA from Gambusia affinis (western mosquitofish), 441 nucleotides. RefSeq lists it as uncharacterized. The transcript has 3 exons. Lineage: Eukaryota; Metazoa; Chordata; Actinopteri; Cyprinodontiformes; Poeciliidae. The record is from RefSeq and is a predicted model, not a curated record.